This 313-nucleotide ribosomal RNA is filed under the name uncultured bacterium. RNAcentral describes it as "bacterial SSU rRNA". It matches the Rfam family "Bacterial small subunit ribosomal RNA", at positions 209 to 507 of the family's 1533-position model. The record is from RNAcentral.
AUCUUCGGACCUCACGUUAUUGGAGCGGCCGAUAUCAGAUUAGCUAGUUGGUGGGGUAAAGGCCUACCAAGGCGACGAUCUGUAGCUGGUCUGAGAGGAUGAUCAGCCACACUGGGACUGAGACACGGCCCAGACUCCUACGGGAGGCAGCAGUGGGGAAUUUUGGACAAUGGGCGAAAGCCUGAUCCAGCCAUGCCGCGUGAGUGAAGAAGGCCUUCGGGUUGUAAAGCUCUUUCAGGUGGAAAGAAAGCGGAUGAGUUAAUACCUUGUCCGGAUGACGGUACCACCAGAAGAAGCACCGGCUAACUACGUG